GGGGUUAUAGCUCAGAUGGCUAGAGCGCUAGUCUUGCAAACUAGAGGACAUGGGUUCAAGUCCCAUUGACUCCA
This is a transfer RNA of Desertifilum sp., 74 nucleotides long. It matches the Rfam family "tRNA". From Rfam's summary of the family: Transfer RNA (tRNA) molecules are approximately 80 nucleotides in length. Their secondary structure includes four short double-helical elements and three loops (D, anti-codon, and T loops). Further hydrogen bonds mediate the characteristic L-shaped molecular structure. tRNAs have two regions of fundamental functional importance: the anti-codon, which is responsible for specific mRNA codon recognition, and the 3' end, to which the tRNAs corresponding amino acid is attached (by aminoacyl-tRNA synthetases). tRNAs cope with the degeneracy of the genetic code in two manners: having more than one tRNA (with a specific anti-codon) for a particular amino acid; and 'wobble' base-pairing, i.e. permitting non-standard base-pairing at the 3rd anti-codon position. NCBI's taxonomy places the organism in Bacteria, Bacillati, Cyanobacteriota, Cyanophyceae, Desertifilales, Desertifilaceae. The record is from Rfam.